Prionailurus viverrinus (fishing cat) is the source of this 315-nucleotide long non-coding RNA. RefSeq lists it as uncharacterized. NCBI's taxonomy places the organism in Eukaryota, Metazoa, Chordata, Mammalia, Carnivora, Felidae. The transcript has 3 exons. The record is from RefSeq and is a predicted model, not a curated record.
GCCAGACUCACGGUGUAUCAGUGGCAGAACUGAAAUUGAAAACCAAGCCUGUCUGAAUCCAGUAUCUGAUUUCUCAACAACUCCUGCCUCAGAAACACUUGGAACUUUAUGGAGCUUCUACAGCCACAUUCAUAGCAGUAAGUGCUGAGAAUGUGUAGAAGGCCAAAACCAGAGCAGAGUGGACAGAAGCAGAUGGAAGUGGAAAAGCGACAGAAGCAAAUUGCAGAUGAUGAAGUGUGACUGACAGAACCAGUGCCUCAGGGGCUGCAAAUCCAAGUUAAGGGCACCACUGACCCAUGCUAAAGGAAGCCUCCA